This 73-nucleotide transfer RNA is filed under the name Ictidomys tridecemlineatus (thirteen-lined ground squirrel). RNAcentral describes it as "Spermophilus tridecemlineatus (thirteen-lined ground squirrel) tRNA". It matches the Rfam family "tRNA". From Rfam's summary of the family: Transfer RNA (tRNA) molecules are approximately 80 nucleotides in length. Their secondary structure includes four short double-helical elements and three loops (D, anti-codon, and T loops). Lineage: Eukaryota; Metazoa; Chordata; Mammalia; Rodentia; Sciuridae. The record is from Rfam by way of RNAcentral.
UGGGAUGUAGCUCAGCUGGUAGAGUGGCUAUCUCGCAUGUGCAAGGCCCUGGGUUCAACCCCCAGCAACACGA